Oryctolagus cuniculus (rabbit) is the source of this 3214-nucleotide non-coding RNA. Lineage: Eukaryota; Metazoa; Chordata; Mammalia; Lagomorpha; Leporidae. The record is from RefSeq and is a predicted model, not a curated record.
CAGCGGCCGAGGGCUUCGGGCGGCCGGCGGAGUGCUGCGUGCACAGCCGGGACCUGCGCUUCGGCCUGCCCCGUGCUAUGCGGUGUGGGGCGCUUGCGAGGCGGGCGGAUGCUCGCUGACAGGGCCGAGGGACGGGCGGAAGGGAAGGAGUUGCUAGCCCUGGCCUGCGGGAGGGCCCGUGACAAGUCCAGCGUUAGGCGCGGCCUUUGCGACCCCGGCAGGGAUCCUGGGCAAAGGCCGAGCUUCCCGCGCUUAAGAGCCCACCUCGGCGCGUUUCCUGGCGGGAGCCUGGGGGUCAGACGCCCGCGGCUUCCGGGCGCUUGUCGCCCUUGACCCCAUAUCCCUGUCACCCGGGAGAGCUCUGGAAACCACAGGUGCCUCGGGCCCACCCCCAGAGGUGCGGUUCACGGCAGUCUUGCUGCUGUGGGUCUGGCUCCCAGACGUUGGCGAGUGUGAGGAUUACCUGUGUCUGGUUAAAAAUCAGUGUGUUCAGUGCCCCCCCCCACUCCCUCCAUGCCUCGCGGGGUGGUCUGUGGGCGAGGGAAGAGCAAGAACGGGCUUUGUCCUCAGUCCCUCCACAGUGGUUGUGAUACAGCUAGGAGUUGGUACCGAAAAGUGAGUGUGCCUAGUUUGUGUUUGUCAGAAAUUAGGCAGCUGGUGGGGACCGCAUCAACUGUUCGACACACGGGGGAUCGCUUUCUGUAUCCCUUCCCAAAAGAGCCCCAGUUAUCUUCGCAGUUGAAAGAUGAGUUUAUGUUUUUAAAUACAUUUUUUUAGGUCCGCUUCAGUUUUGCUGAGUGUAGACAUUGCAUAAACUUGCAGUUAGGUUUUUUUAGAUUCUGUGGAGUUUUAGAGGAAAUCGUGGGAUUCAGCUGCCUCUAUCCAAUCUAAGAAUACAUUUUCCAUUUUUGAAAGUUCUCCUUUUUUCAGCUGUCGACAGUUGGAUGCGUUCGUUUUAAUAUUGGUUCUGCAAAUACAGCAUGAAAUUGCUUUUCCCAUGGUAUUUAUUUUUAAAAAACCCAAGUUGCUAAAAGGUAUUCCAUUCCAAUCCAGAAAGUUUAAGUAAAUAUAGUAAAUAAAUUGGACAUACGAAAUUUUAGGCUUAAUCUUGUUUGUAUCUAAUCUUGUGACUUUUAUUUGCAUGGUUGAGACUGGAUAAUGGAAUUUAUUUAUUUAUUUAUUUGAAAGGCAGGGUGAUGGAGAGAGGGAGAGAAAGAUCUCUUUCAUCUAGUCCUUCACGCUCCAGAUGCUUGCAACAUCCAGGCCUGGCACUCCAUCUGAGUGGUAUGAACCCAAGUACUUGGGUCAUCAUCUGCUGCCUCCCAGGCUCAUUAGCAUGAAGCUGGAUCAGAAGCAGAGAACCAUAGGAGAGCUGGAGAAACAAAAUAUGGAUCCAGCUUAGAAAAAUUCCUGUCAUACUGCAAGUACAGGCCACCGAGGAAGCCACUGCCCACCUGAACAAAAAUUGCUUGCCAAUUCAGAAACUACAGUUACAGGCUCCAGAACUAUACCUGAGAUGCAGGAUGUUACUUGAGGUUGUAGUGUGGUAGAACAAGGGAGGUAUCCGAGAAACUGGAGCAGAUUGGAUCUUACAAACAGUAAAACCAAUUCAGAAAAGCAAUGAAGAUUUGUGUGAACUUCAGAAGUAAAAUGUCCUACACCAAGCUGAUACGUAGAUCAAGUGAUCCCAAAGAACAAUGCAAACACUGUCUAUACCAGAGCCCAAGAAGGACAUGCACAGACACACUGUGAGUCAAGUGCACGGCCUAGCCCUAUACCCAGACUACAUAAAUCUACAUAACACUUUUAGUUUACAGUCAGUCAAGAAACUAAGAAUUCCAGAACGACAAACAUGACAAAACAAACAAAAAGGGGAGGAAAUGAUCGAAGUAGUACUUCAAAAAACUUUUCUAGGAGUGAAGGACGGGAGUAUCCACAUUUAAAGAAAUCACAAACUAAAAAAGGCCUGUGUUAAAGCACAUCCUGAAAAGAGCUCUCUGCUGUGGCCUGGGAGGGCAGUGGAAGAUGGCUCAGGACCUUGGACCCCUGCGUGGGAGACCUGGAAGAAGCUCCUGACUCCUGGCUUCAGAUCGUUGCAGCUAUCAGGGGAGUGAACCAGCGGAUGGAAGACCUCUCUCUGCCUCUCCUUCUCUGUGUAACUCUGACUUUCAAAUAAAUGGAUAAAUCUUUUAAAAAUAAUAAGAUUAUAUAAUUUUAAUAACCCUAAAAGAUAUAUAACUUGCAUAAUUCAGAAAUUAUAUUUAUAGAUAUUUGAUAGAUCUAAUGAAAUGCAUGAAAAAUUAGAGUUGUUUUAAAAAUCUGUUAUGAUAAUUGUUAUUAAUUUCUUGAAAAAAUAUUUCCUAUAUACAAGAAAGAAAAUAGAAUUCCUCUAAUCAUGUAUGGUGUUAAAAUGUGUAGAAUUUUUCAGGGCAUCUAAAAUACUAAUAUAAAUCUCUAGGGAAAAGCACAGAACUGUAUAGUUUAUUUGUCUUUUCAGUUAGAUUGCUUUUAAGUUUACUUUAAAAAAUAUAUACACCAAGUUUGAAAUUUAAAACUAUAAAUUCAUAUAAUCCAAUGCAAUACUGGGCAGAGGACUUAGAUACUUCACAAAGGAGAGGAUCUAAAAGGCAAAGGAGAAAAGGUGACAUUAAUUCUCAAGGAUUUACACAUUAAAUCCACCAGGCAACACGAUUGUCCAAAUACUAAUGACAGAAUAUUCCCAGUAUGGGUGAGGAUUUGGAGCAGGUAGAACUCUCAUACAUUACUAAUGGGCAAUGCCAAUGGGUCCGACUGAUUUUGCAAACUGUGUGGCAGUAUCUGUUAAAAUUGCAGACACACAGACUGUGUGACCCAGCAGUUCCUCAAUUAGGUAUGUGGACAUGUUGUGCACAUUCUAGAAUGUUUAUAGCAGUGCUAGUUUUAAUAGUCUUAAAGUAGAAAUUACGCAAGUGUCUACAAAUAAUGGAUUCAGUUGUGGCACAUUUAUGCAACAGAAUACUAAAUAACAAUGCAACUGAACCAUGUACAAGAUUGAUGAAGUACACAAAUACAAUGUUGGAUGCAGAAGGCCAAAUACAGAAGAUUGUGUACUGUUUGAGUUCAUUUACAUUAAGUACAAAAAUAGACUUUCGGAAAUUAGGAUUGUGGCUUUUGUAGGGAGGAAGUGGUGACUAGGAGGAAUUUGGAGAGGUUUCUGGGUUGAAAUAAUGUUCUG